This 76-nucleotide transfer RNA is filed under the name Cellulomonas hominis. Its description in RNAcentral is "tRNA-Arg". It matches the Rfam family "tRNA". Rfam says of the family: Transfer RNA (tRNA) molecules are approximately 80 nucleotides in length. Their secondary structure includes four short double-helical elements and three loops (D, anti-codon, and T loops). The record is from RNAcentral. Lineage: Bacteria; Bacillati; Actinomycetota; Actinomycetes; Micrococcales; Cellulomonadaceae.
GCCCCCGUAGCUCAACGGACCAGAGCGCCGGUCUCCUACACCGGGUGUCCGGGUUCGAGUCCCGGCGGGGGCACCA